GGUGUAGGCGGUCGGGCAAGUCGGAUGUGAAAGCCCUCGGCUCAACUGAGGAAGUGCAUUCGAAACUGCUCGACUUGAGUAUGGGAGAGGAAGGUGGAAUUCUCGGUGUAGCGGUGACAUGCGUAGAUAUCGGGAGGAACACCGGUGGCGAAGGCGGCCUUCUGGCCCAAUACUGACGCUGAGACCCGAAAGCGUGGGGAGCAAACA
This 207-nucleotide ribosomal RNA is filed under the name uncultured bacterium. RNAcentral's name for it is "partial 16S ribosomal RNA". It matches the Rfam family "Bacterial small subunit ribosomal RNA", at positions 568 to 774 of the family's 1533-position model. The record is from RNAcentral.